This 449-nucleotide ribosomal RNA is filed under the name uncultured Pelotomaculum sp. RNAcentral's name for it is "bacterial SSU rRNA". It matches the Rfam family "Bacterial small subunit ribosomal RNA", at positions 936 to 1382 of the family's 1533-position model. The record is from RNAcentral. Lineage: Bacteria; Bacillati; Bacillota; Clostridia; Eubacteriales; Desulfotomaculaceae.
AGCAUGUGGUUUAAUUCGACGCAACGCGAAGAACCUUACCAGGGCUUGACAUCCCCUGACCGCGUAUGAAAGUACGUUUUCACCCUCGGGUGACAGGGAGACAGGUGGUGCAUGGUUGUCGUCAGCUCGUGUCGUGAGAUGUUGGGUUAAGUCCCGCAACGAGCGCAACCCCUACGUUUAGUUGCUAACAGGUGAAGCUGAGCACUCUAGACGAACUGCCGUUGACAAAACGGAGGAAGGUGGGGAUGACGUCAAAUCAUCAUGCCCCUUAUGUUCUGGGCUACACACGUGCUACAAUGGCCGGUACAGACGGAGGCGAAGCCGCGAGGCGGAGCAAAUCCGAAAAAGCCGGUCUCAGUUCGGAUUGCAGGCUGCAAUUCGCCUGCAUGAAGUCGGAAUCGCUAGUAAUCGCAGGUCAGCAUACUGCGGUGAAUACGUUCCCGGGCCUU